GGGCCUGUAGUCUAGCGGCUAUGACGCCACCCUCACACGGUGGAGGUCGCAGGUUCGAAUCCUGCCGGGCCCA
This 73-nucleotide transfer RNA is filed under the name Candidatus Aenigmatarchaeota archaeon. Its description in RNAcentral is "tRNA-Val". It matches the Rfam family "tRNA". From Rfam's summary of the family: Transfer RNA (tRNA) molecules are approximately 80 nucleotides in length. Their secondary structure includes four short double-helical elements and three loops (D, anti-codon, and T loops). Further hydrogen bonds mediate the characteristic L-shaped molecular structure. tRNAs have two regions of fundamental functional importance: the anti-codon, which is responsible for specific mRNA codon recognition, and the 3' end, to which the tRNAs corresponding amino acid is attached (by aminoacyl-tRNA synthetases). tRNAs cope with the degeneracy of the genetic code in two manners: having more than one tRNA (with a specific anti-codon) for a particular amino acid; and 'wobble' base-pairing, i.e. permitting non-standard base-pairing at the 3rd anti-codon position. The record is from RNAcentral. Lineage: Archaea; Nanobdellati; Candidatus Aenigmatarchaeota.